CAAUAGCGUAUAUUAAAGUUGUUGCAGUUAAAAAGCUCGUAGUUGGAUUUCGGGGUGGCCUGGCUGGUCCACCGCAAGGUGUGUACUGGUCAGCUGCCCUUCCUCUCGAAAGCCCCGACUGCUCUUCAUUGUUGUGGUCGGGUAGUUCGAGACGUUUACUUUGAAAAAAUUAGAGUGUUCAAGGCAGGCCGUCGCCUGAAUACAUUAGCAUGGAAUAAUGGAAGAGGACCUUGGUCCUAUUUUGUUGGUUUCUGGGGCCGAAGUAAUGAUUAAGAGGGACAGUUGGGGGCAUUCGUAUUUAAUUGUCAGAGGUGAAAUUCUUGGAUUUAUGAAAGACGAACUAGUGCGAAAGCAUUUGCCAAGGAUGUUUUCAUUAA
This 377-nucleotide ribosomal RNA is filed under the name uncultured eukaryote. RNAcentral's name for it is "partial 18S ribosomal RNA". It matches the Rfam family "Eukaryotic small subunit ribosomal RNA", at positions 592 to 976 of the family's 1831-position model. The record is from RNAcentral.